GCGGAUGUAGCCAAGUGGAUCAAGGCAGUGG
This 31-nucleotide non-coding RNA is filed under the name Xenopus tropicalis (tropical clawed frog). Lineage: Eukaryota; Metazoa; Chordata; Amphibia; Anura; Pipidae. RNAcentral also lists the same sequence under 20 other names. The record is from RNAcentral.